CUGGAGAAUGAGGACAUCGGUCGACUGCAGGCAGAGAUUGACAAUAUCCCCAACCUGAUAGAGGCCAUUAGGACCGCUCUGCCAGCUCCGGAAGGAAAGAAUGGCAGUUUAAAGGAUUUAAAGACUAGUUCCAACACAAGUUAUGUGAGCGGGCCGGGAAACGCACUGUCGAUCCUCGGAUUUUGAUGAUCUUCGAAAUCUAGGCUAUCUCAAUUGUAUUGCCGACGGUGUCUUCACAAACAUAAGUGACGCCAACAAAAAAGGCAGCAAGACAUACGAUAACAUCUGGAUAUCUAAACAGAC
Long non-coding RNA from Dreissena polymorpha, 303 nucleotides. RefSeq lists it as uncharacterized. The record is from RefSeq and is a predicted model, not a curated record. The transcript has 3 exons. NCBI's taxonomy places the organism in Eukaryota, Metazoa, Mollusca, Bivalvia, Myida, Dreissenidae.